CGGCAUGGAUAAACGCUGAAGGCAUCUAAGCGUGAAGCCAUCUUCAAGAUAAGAUUUCCCAUUCGAAAGAAGUAAGGUCCCUUAUAGACUAUGAGGUAGAUAGGUUGGAGGUGUAAGUGCAGCAAUGCAUGUAGCUGACCAAUACUAAUAGACCGAGGGUUUGAUCUCUAAAAU
This 174-nucleotide ribosomal RNA is filed under the name Candidatus Epulonipiscium sp. RNAcentral describes it as "partial 23S ribosomal RNA". It matches the Rfam family "Bacterial large subunit ribosomal RNA", at positions 2756 to 2925 of the family's 2925-position model. The record is from RNAcentral. Lineage: Bacteria; Bacillati; Bacillota; Clostridia; Lachnospirales; Lachnospiraceae.